GAACACAUCCCUGCUCAGCUGGAGGAAAGUCAGAGAGCGUCUGAGAAGAGGCUGGGACCUUCAUUUUGCAAACACAUAAGGUGCUCACCGAGGCAGUAUAGUACCUCUGCAUCCCUCAUAGAGAAGGUUUUUUUCUUGUUUUUGUGUCUCCUGAAACACCUGGGGUGAGGAAAAACCUCCGCAUUGGCCAAGCAGAAGAAAGAGCAGGAUCUAUGACUGAGGUGGAUCUGCUAGGAGUGGCUCCUCGCUGCUUAGAGGGAGGCACUUUUCACACUCUGUUUUGGAAUGAGAAGUUAAAUUCACGAGCACACAUGAUUUAGAAGACAUGGGCUGUGGCACUUCGUCUUCAAGGAAAGACAGGAAAUCUG
Non-coding RNA from Leptonychotes weddellii (Weddell seal), 368 nucleotides. Lineage: Eukaryota; Metazoa; Chordata; Mammalia; Carnivora; Phocidae. The record is from RefSeq and is a predicted model, not a curated record.